RNAcentral lists this ribosomal RNA (420 nucleotides) under bacterium. RNAcentral's name for it is "partial 16S ribosomal RNA". It matches the Rfam family "Bacterial small subunit ribosomal RNA", at positions 355 to 776 of the family's 1533-position model. The record is from RNAcentral.
UGGGGGAUAUUGCACAAUGGGCGAAAGCCUGAUGCAGCGACGCCGCGUGGGGGAUGAAGGCUUUCGGGUUGUAAACCUCUUUCGCUAUCGAACAAGGCCCGCUUAGGGUGGGUUGAGGGCAGGUGGAGAAGAAGCGCCGGCUAACUACGUGCCAGCAGCCGCGGUAAUACGUAGGGCGCGAGCGUUGUCCGGAAUUAUUGGGCGUAAAGGGCUUGUAGGCGGCUUGUUGCGCCUGCUGUGAAAACGCGGGGCUUAACUUCGCGCGUGCAGUGGGUACGGGCCGGCUUGAGUGUGGUAGGGGUGACUGGAAUUCCAGGUGUAGCGGUGGAAUGCGCAGAUAUCUGGAGGAACACCGAUGGCGAAGGCAGGUCACUGGGCCAUUACUGACGCUGAGGAGCGAAAGCAUGGGUAGCGAACAGG